UUAGCGGCGGACGGGUGAGUAACACCCUGGGUAACCUGCCCAUAAGACUGGGAUAACUCCGGGAAAUCGGGGCUAAUACCGGAUAACAUUUUGCACCGCAUGGUGCGAAAUUGAAAGGCGGCUUCGGCUGUCACUUAUGGAUGGACCCGCGUCGCAUUAGCUAGUUGGUGAGGUAACGGCUCACCAAGGCAACGAUGCGUAGCCGACCUGAGAGGGUGAUCGGCCACACUGGGACUGAGACACGGCCCAGACUCCUACGGGAGGCAGCAGUAGGGAAUCUUCCGCAAUGGACGAAAGUCUGACGGAGCAACGCCGCGUGAGUGAUGAAGGCUUUCGGGUCGUAAAACUCUGUUGUUAGGGAAGAACAAGUGCUAGUUGAAUAAGCUGGCACCUUGACGGUACCUAACCAGAAAGCCACGGCUAACUACGUGCCAGCAACCGCGGUAAUACGUAGGUGGCAAGCGUUAUCCGGAAUUAUUGGGCGUAAAAGCGCGCGCAGGUGGUUUCUUAAGUCUGAUGUGAAACCCACGGCUCAACCGUGGAGGGUCAUUGGAAACUGGGAGACUUGAGUGCAGAAGAGGAAAGUGGAAUUCCAUGUGUAGCGGUGAAAUGCGUAGAGAUAUGGAGGAAACACCAGUUGGCAAAAGCGACUUUUCAGGUCUGUAACUGAACACUGGAGGCGC
This 683-nucleotide ribosomal RNA is filed under the name bacterium. RNAcentral describes it as "bacterial SSU rRNA". It matches the Rfam family "Bacterial small subunit ribosomal RNA", at positions 92 to 754 of the family's 1533-position model. The record is from RNAcentral.